UUCAACCCUCAUCAUCCCCACACUACCACCACCUUCGCUGAGUAAUUUGUUUUCUUCUCCACUUUCAAAAUUAUAGGCACCUACACUACACCCCAACCCUCUACUUUCUCUCUCAUCAUCUUUCAAAUUUCUCUCUCUAUCCAUUGCCCUCUCCUAAAUCCAAGAAUCAAUCUUCCCUUCCAAUUUUCAUAAAAAAAUGCAACCAUGUCCAUGAAUUUUCCCUUGAUCCUUCUUUCCCUCUCCCUCCUCGCAUCAAUUUCCCAUUCCUCCAACACUCUCACGGAUUCGGUGGCGGCGGAGAAGACGCGGCUGGGCUCGACGCCGCCGAGCUGCCACAACAAAUGCAACCAGUGCCACCCGUGCAUGGCGGUGCAGGUGCCGACGCUGCCGAGCCACAGCCGCGUGGGGCCCGCCGAUUACUCCUCCGCCGGAAACAGGUACUCCAAUUACAAGCCGCUCGGCUGGAAAUGCAGAUGCGGCGGCCAUUUUUACAACCCUUAAUUACAAAUUCCAUCCUUUUUCCAAAAUUGAAAAAAAAAAGAGCAUACACUGAAAUUUCAUUUCUAGUCCUUUUUCCAUUUUAAUUAACAAUCAGAGUAGAUUUUUUUUUAAUAUUUUUUGGAUAGGUGAUGUUAGCGGUGACAAGACAUAUAUUUAAUGUAAGAUGUGGUUUUUUUAAUAUAUGUAAGCAUUUAAUUUAUUUA
This is a long non-coding RNA of Salvia splendens (bonfire salvia), 704 nucleotides long. RefSeq lists it as uncharacterized. The record is from RefSeq and is a predicted model, not a curated record. Lineage: Eukaryota; Viridiplantae; Streptophyta; Magnoliopsida; Lamiales; Lamiaceae. The transcript is spliced from 2 exons.